UACAGAGGUGGCAAGCGUUGUUCGGAAUUACUGGGCGUAAAGGGCGCGUAGGCGGUCUUGCAAGUCCUGUGUGAAAUCCCUCGGCUCAACUGAGGAACUGCACAGGAAACUGCUUGGCUUGAGUUCGGGAGAGGGAAGCGGAAUUCCACGUGUAGCGGUGAAAUGCGUAGAGAUGUGGAGGAACACCAGUGGCGAAGGCGGCUUUCUGGUCUGUAACUGACGCUGAGGCGCGAAAGCGUGGGGAGCAAACAGG
This 253-nucleotide ribosomal RNA is filed under the name uncultured bacterium. Its description in RNAcentral is "partial 16S ribosomal RNA". It matches the Rfam family "Bacterial small subunit ribosomal RNA", at positions 524 to 776 of the family's 1533-position model. The record is from RNAcentral.